RNAcentral lists this ribosomal RNA (377 nucleotides) under uncultured bacterium. RNAcentral's name for it is "bacterial SSU rRNA". It matches the Rfam family "Bacterial small subunit ribosomal RNA", at positions 521 to 896 of the family's 1533-position model. The record is from RNAcentral.
UAAUACGUAGGUGGCAAGCGUUGUCCGGAUUUACUGGGCGUAAAGGGCUUGUAGGCGGUUUGUUAAGUCUGGUGUGAAAUCUCCCGGCUCAACCGGGAGGGGUCAUCGGAUACUGGCAGACUUGAGACGGGUAGAGGAAAGCAGAAUUCCCGGUGUAGCGGUGAAAUGCGUAGAUAUCGGGAGGAAUACCAGUGGCGAAGGCGGCUUUCUGGGCCUGUUCUGACGCUGAGGAGCGAAAGCGUGGGGAGCAAACCGGAUUAGAUACCCGGGUAGUCCACGCCCUAAACGGUGGAUGCUAGGUGUGGGGGGUGUCGACCCCCUCCGUGCCGCAGCUAACGCUUUAAGCAUCCCGCCUGGGGAGUACGGCCGCAAGGCUA